RNAcentral lists this ribosomal RNA (200 nucleotides) under Enterococcus malodoratus. RNAcentral describes it as "16S rRNA. Bacterial SSU". It matches the Rfam family "Bacterial small subunit ribosomal RNA", at positions 1 to 183 of the family's 1533-position model. Lineage: Bacteria; Bacillati; Bacillota; Bacilli; Lactobacillales; Enterococcaceae. The record is from RNAcentral.
CUUUUUAUGAGAGUUUGAUCCUGGCUCAGGACGAACGCUGGCGGCGUGCCUAAUACAUGCAAGUCGAACGCUUUUUCUUUCACCGGAGCUUGCUCCACCGAAAGAAAAGGAGUGGCGAACGGGUGAGUAACACGUGGGUAACCUGCCCAUCAGAAGGGGAUAACACUUGGAAACAGGUGCUAAUACCGUAUAACAGUAGA